Astyanax mexicanus (Mexican tetra) is the source of this 82-nucleotide transfer RNA. It matches the Rfam family "tRNA". From Rfam's summary of the family: Transfer RNA (tRNA) molecules are approximately 80 nucleotides in length. Their secondary structure includes four short double-helical elements and three loops (D, anti-codon, and T loops). Further hydrogen bonds mediate the characteristic L-shaped molecular structure. tRNAs have two regions of fundamental functional importance: the anti-codon, which is responsible for specific mRNA codon recognition, and the 3' end, to which the tRNAs corresponding amino acid is attached (by aminoacyl-tRNA synthetases). tRNAs cope with the degeneracy of the genetic code in two manners: having more than one tRNA (with a specific anti-codon) for a particular amino acid; and 'wobble' base-pairing, i.e. permitting non-standard base-pairing at the 3rd anti-codon position. NCBI's taxonomy places the organism in Eukaryota, Metazoa, Chordata, Actinopteri, Characiformes, Acestrorhamphidae. The record is from Rfam.
GCUGUGAUGGCCGAGUGGUUAAGGCGUUGGAUUAGAAAUCCAAUGGGGUUUCCCCGCGCAGGUUCAAAUCCUGCUCACAGCG